This 570-nucleotide ribosomal RNA is filed under the name uncultured bacterium. Its description in RNAcentral is "bacterial SSU rRNA". It matches the Rfam family "Bacterial small subunit ribosomal RNA", at positions 28 to 587 of the family's 1533-position model. The record is from RNAcentral.
AUUGAACGCUGGCGGCAGGCUUAACACAUGCAAGUCGAGCGGUAACAGGGAGAAGCUUGCUUCUUUGCUGACGAGCGGCGGACGGGUGAGUAAUGCCUGGGAAUCUGCCUGGUANUGGGGGAUAACUUGCCGAAAGGUAAGCUAAUACCGCGUACGCCCCAUGGGGGAAAGCAGGGGAUCUUCGGACCUUGCGCUAUCAGAUGAGCCCAGGCCGGAUUAGCUAGUUGGUGGGGUAAAGGCCUACCAAGGCGACGAUCCGUAGCUGGUCUGAGAGGAUGAUCAGCCACACCGGGACUGAGACACGGCCCGGACUCCUACGGGAGGCAGCAGUGGGGAAUAUUGGACAAUGGGGGGAACCCUGAUCCAGCCAUGCCGCGUGUGUGAAGAANGUCUUCGGAUUGUAAAGCACUUUAAGUUGGGAGGAAGGGUUUCUGGUUAAUACCCGGGAAUUUUGACGUUACCAACAGAAUAAGCACCGGCUAACUUCGUGCCAGCAGCCGCGGUAAUACGAANGGUGCGAGCGUUAAUCGGAAUUACUGGGCGUAAAGCGCGCGUAAGUGGUUUGUUUAA